Non-coding RNA from Gymnothorax javanicus (giant moray), 73 nucleotides. The record is from the annotation of a GenBank genome assembly. NCBI's taxonomy places the organism in Eukaryota, Metazoa, Chordata, Actinopteri, Anguilliformes, Muraenidae.
GGCAUGGUGGUGCAGUGGUUAGCACUGCUGCCUCACAGCAAGACAGUUGCGGGUUCAAGUCUGGCCUGGGGCC